Molecule: unclassified non-coding RNA, 376 nt
Filed under: uncultured bacterium
Lineage: Bacteria
Description: contains 16S-23S intergenic spacer region
Source: RNAcentral
UCCGGCUUAUCACCGGCAGUCCCCCUAGAGUGCCCAACUAAAUGAUGGCAACUAAGGGCGAGGGUUGCGCUCGUUGCGGGACUUAACCCAACAUCUCACGGCACGAGCUGACGACAGCCAUGCAGCACCUGUGCUAGCUCCCCGAAGGGUCCUUCACGUUUCCGAUCCGUACCACUAGCAUGUCAAGCCCUGGUAAGGUUCUUCGCGUUGCAUCGAAUUAAACCACACGCUCCGCCGCUUGUGCGGGCCCCCGUCAAUUCCUUUGAGUUUUAGCCUUGCGGCCGUACUCCCCAGGCGGAGUGCUUAACGCGUUAGCUUCGUUACCAAGGAAUAACUUCCCCGACAACCAGUUGACAUCGUUUAGGGCGUGGACUAC